GGCCUGGUGGUGUAAUGGUUGUACACUUGCUCUAUCUAUCAUUUAUCCAUAGAAUGUACAGCAGGAGAUUCCUUGUUCAAAUCAAGGCCAGGCCC
Non-coding RNA from Mycena latifolia, 95 nucleotides. The record is from the annotation of a GenBank genome assembly. NCBI's taxonomy places the organism in Eukaryota, Fungi, Basidiomycota, Agaricomycetes, Agaricales, Mycenaceae.